UUAAGCGACUAAGCGUACACGGUGGAUGCCCUGGCAGUCAGAGGCGAUGAAGGACGUGCUAAUCUGCGAUAAGCGUCGGUAAGGUGAUAUGGACCGUUAUAACCGGCGAUUUCCGAAUGGGGAAACCCAGUGUGAUUCGUCACACUAUCAUUAACUGAAUCCAUAGGUUAAUGAGGCGAACCGGGGGAACUGAAACAUCUAAGUACCCCGAGGAAAAGAAAUCAACCGAGAUUCCCCCAGUAGCGGCGAGCGAACGGGGAGGAGCCCAGAGCCUGAAUCAGUGUGUGUGUUAGUGGAAGCGUCUGGAAAGGCGCGCGAUACAGGGUGACAGCCCCGUACACAAAAAUGCACAUAUUGUGAGCUCGAUGAGUAGGGCGGGACACGUGGUAUCCUGUCUGAAUAUGGGGGGACCAUCCUCCAAGGCUAAAUACUCCUGACUGACCGAUAGUGAACCAGUACCGUGAGGGAAAGGCGAAAAGAACCCCGGCGAGGGGAGUGAAAAAGAACCUGAAACCGUGUACGUACAAGCAGUGGGAGCCUCUUAAUGGGGUGACUGCGUACCUUUUGUAUAAUGGGUCAGCGACUUAUAUUCUGUAGCAAGGUUAACCGAAUAGGGGAGCCGAAGGGAAACCGAGUCUUAACUGGGCGUUAAGUUGCAGGGUAUAGACCCGAAACCCGGUGAUCUAGCCAUGGGCAGGUUGAAGGUUGGGUAACACUAACUGGAGGACCGAACCGACUAAUGUUGAAAAAUUAGCGGAUGACUUGUGGCUGGGGGUGAAAGGCCAAUCAAACCGGGAGAUAGCUGGUUCUCCCCGAAAGCUAUUUAGGUAGCGCCUCGUGAAUUCAUCUCCGGGGGUAGAGCACUGUUUCGGCAAGGGGGUCAUCCCGACUUACCAACCCGAUGCAAACUGCGAAUACCGGAGAAUGUUAUCACGGGAGACACACGGCGGGUGCUAACGUCCGUCGUGAAGAGGGAAACAACCCAGACCGCCAGCUAAGGUCCCAAAGUCAUGGUUAAGUGGGAAACGAUGUGGGAAGGCCCAGACAGCCAGGAUGUUGGCUUAGAAGCAGCCAUCAUUUAAAGAAAGCGUAAUAGCUCACUGGUCGAGUCGGCCUGCGCGGAAGAUGUAACGGGGCUAAACCAUGCACCGAAGCUGCGGCAGCGACACUAUGUGUUGUUGGGUAGGGGAGCGUUCUGUAAGCCUGUGAAGGUGGCCUGUGAGGGUUGCUGGAGGUAUCAGAAGUGCGAAUGCUGACAUAAGUAACGAUAAAGCGGGUGAAAAGCCCGCUCGCCGGAAGACCAAGGGUUCCUGUCCAACGUUAAUCGGGGCAGGGUGAGUCGACCCCUAAGGCGAGGCCGAAAGGCGUAGUCGAUGGGAAACAGGUUAAUAUUCCUGUACUUGGUGUUACUGCGAAGGGGGGACGGAGAAGGCUAUGUUGGCCGGGCGACGGUUGUCCCGGUUUAAGCGUGUAGGCUGGUUUUCCAGGCAAAUCCGGAAAACCAAGGCUGAGGCGUGAUGACGAGGCACUACGGUGCUGAAGUAACAAAUGCCCUGCUUCCAGGAAAAGCCUCUAAGCAUCAGGUAACAUCAAAUCGUACCCCAAACCGACACAGGUGGUCAGGUAGAGAAUACCAAGGCGCUUGAGAGAACUCGGGUGAAGGAACUAGGCAAAAUGGUGCCGUAACUUCGGGAGAAGGCACGCUGAUAUGUAGGUGAAGCGACUUGCUCGUGGAGCUGAAAUCAGUCGAAGAUACCAGCUGGCUGCAACUGUUUAUUAAAAACACAGCACUGUGCAAACACGAAAGUGGACGUAUACGGUGUGACGCCUGCCCGGUGCCGGAAGGUUAAUUGAUGGGGUUAGCGGUAACGCGAAGCUCUUGAUCGAAGCCCCGGUAAACGGCGGCCGUAACUAUAACGGUCCUAAGGUAGCGAAAUUCCUUGUCGGGUAAGUUCCGACCUGCACGAAUGGCGUAAUGAUGGCCAGGCUGUCUCCACCCGAGACUCAGUGAAAUUGAACUCGCUGUGAAGAUGCAGUGUACCCGCGGCAAGACGGAAAGACCCCGUGAACCUUUACUAUAGCUUGACACUGAACAUUGAGCCUUGAUGUGUAGGAUAGGUGGGAGGCUUUGAAGUGUGGACGCCAGUCUGCAUGGAGCCGACCUUGAAAUACCACCCUUUAAUGUUUGAUGUUCUAACGUUGGCCCCUAAUCGGGGUUGCGGACAGUGUCUGGUGGGUAGUUUGACUGGGGCGGUCUCCUCCUAAAGAGUAACGGAGGAGCACGAAGGUUGGCUAAUCCUGGUCGGACAUCAGGAGGUUAGUGCAAUGGCAUAAGCCAGCUUGACUGCGAGCGUGACGGCGCGAGCAGGUGCGAAAGCAGGUCAUAGUGAUCCGGUGGUUCUGAAUGGAAGGGCCAUCGCUCAACGGAUAAAAGGUACUCCGGGGAUAACAGGCUGAUACCGCCCAAGAGUUCAUAUCGACGGCGGUGUUUGGCAC
Molecule: ribosomal RNA, 2496 nt
Filed under: human gut metagenome
Description: bacterial LSU rRNA
Rfam family: Bacterial large subunit ribosomal RNA
Source: RNAcentral